Molecule: ribosomal RNA, 478 nt
Filed under: uncultured bacterium
Lineage: Bacteria
Description: partial 16S ribosomal RNA
Rfam family: Bacterial small subunit ribosomal RNA
Source: RNAcentral
GACGAACGCUGGCGGCGUGCUUAACACAUGCAAGUCGAACGGGAUUUAGUAGACAGAAGCCUCGGCUAAAGAUUACUAAUGAGAGUGGCGAACGGGUGAGUAACGCGUGAGCAACCUGCCUAUGACAGUGGGAUAGCCUCGGGAAACCGGGAUUAAUACCGCAUCAAAUCGUAGAAACACAUGUUUUAACGGUCAAAGAUUUAUCGGUCAUAGAUGGGCUCGCGUCUGAUUAGCUAGUUGGUGAGAUAACAGCCCACCAAGGCGACGAUCAGUAGCCGGUCUGAGAGGAUGAACGGCCACAUUGGAACUGAGACACGGUCCAAACUCCUACGGGAGGCAGCAGUGGGGAAUAUUGCACAAGGGGGGAAACCCUGAUGCAGCGACGCCGCGUGAACGAAGAAGGUAUUCGUAUCGUAAAGUUCUGUCCUAUGGGAAGAUAAUGACAGUACCAUAGAAGAAAGCGCCGGCUAAAUACGUG